AUACGGAAGGUCCGGGCGUUAUCCGGAUAUAUUGGGUUUAAAGGGAGCGCAGGCGGAGAUGCAAGCGUGACGUCAAAUUUCGGGGCUCAACCCCGUCUCGCGUCGCGAACUGCGUCCCUUGGUUGCGGGAAGGGGAGGCGGAACUCGUGGUGUAGCGGUGAAAUGCAUAGAUAUCACGAAGAACUCCGAUCGCGAAGGCAGCCUUCCGGCCCGUCAACGACGCUCAUGCUCGAAGGUGCGGGUAUCAAACAGGAUUAGAUACCCUGGUAGUCCGCACAGUAAACGAUGGACACCCGCGGUUUGGCCUGUAUGGCUGAGCCGCCAAGCGAAAGCGUUAAGUGUCCCACCUGGGGAGUACGCCGGCAACGGUGAAACUUAAAGGAAUUGACGGGG
Molecule: ribosomal RNA, 393 nt
Filed under: uncultured bacterium
Lineage: Bacteria
Description: partial 16S ribosomal RNA
Rfam family: Bacterial small subunit ribosomal RNA
Source: RNAcentral